AUCAUUUAUGUUCAAAUAUAUCUGCUAUAUCAUUUCUGUAUAAUCUGUAAGUGGUUGUGUAAUUGAGCCAUUCGACAACUGUUAAUUAUGUGCGACUUAAUCGAUUGAGGCAGUCUUUAAUCGAUUAACUGGAUGAUUUUCCAGAAUAGGGCUUUGGUGCAAAUAGCGGUAAGUGGAAACCACGACACCUAUUCAACCCCCC
RNAcentral lists this long non-coding RNA (202 nucleotides) under Lupinus angustifolius (narrow-leaved blue lupine). Its description in RNAcentral is "long non-coding RNA (LANG_LNC000327)". The record is from RNAcentral. Lineage: Eukaryota; Viridiplantae; Streptophyta; Magnoliopsida; Fabales; Fabaceae.